GGGUCAUUUAGAGGAAGUAAAAGUCGUAACAAGGUCUCCGUUGGUGAACCAGCGGAGGGAUCAUUACAGAGUUAUCCAACUCCCAAACCCAUGUGAACUUAUCUCUUUGUUGCCUCGGCGCAAGCUACCCGGGACCUCGCGCCCCGGGCGGCCCGCCGGCGGACAAACCAAAACUCUUGUUAUCUUAGUUGAUUAUCUGAGUGUCUUAUUUAAUAAGUCAAAACUUUCAACAACGGAUCUCUUGGUUCUGGCAUCGAUGAAGAACGCAGCGAAAUGCGAUAAGUAAUGUGAAUUGCAGAAUUCAGUGAAUCAUCGAAUCUUUGAACGCACAUUGCGCCCAUUAGUAUUCUAGUGGGCAUGCCUGUUCGAGCGUCAUUUCAACCCCUAAGCACAGCUUAUUGUUGGGAACCUACGGCUUCGUAGUUCCUCAAAGACAUUGGCGGAGUGGCAGUGGUCCUCUGAGCGUAGUAAUCUUUUAUCUCGCUUCUGUUAGGUGCUGCCCCCCCGGCCGUAAAACCCCCAAUUUUUUCUGGUUGACCUCGGAUCAGGUAGGAAAUACCCGCUGAAC
RNAcentral lists this ribosomal RNA (568 nucleotides) under Nigrospora sphaerica. RNAcentral describes it as "eukaryotic LSU rRNA". The stretch from base 222 to 375 matches the Rfam family "5.8S ribosomal RNA". The record is from RNAcentral. Lineage: Eukaryota; Fungi; Ascomycota; Sordariomycetes; Amphisphaeriales; Apiosporaceae.